This 455-nucleotide ribosomal RNA is filed under the name uncultured bacterium. RNAcentral describes it as "SSU rRNA". It matches the Rfam family "Bacterial small subunit ribosomal RNA", at positions 26 to 518 of the family's 1533-position model. The record is from RNAcentral.
AGGAUGAACGCUGGCGGCGUGCCUAAUACAUGCAAGUCGAGCGGUAAAGCCUCUUCGGAGGUACACGAGCGGCGGACGGCUGAGUAACACGUAGGAACGUACCCCAAACUGAGGGAUAAGCACCAGAAAUGGUGUCUAAUACCGCAUGUGCUCUAAGGAGUAAAGCUUCGGCGGUUUGGGAACGGCCUGCGUCCGAUUAGCUAGUUGGUGAGGUAAUAGCUUACCAAGGCGACGAUCGGUAGCUGGUCUGAGAGGAUGAUCAGCCAGACUGGGACUGAGAACGGCCCAGACUCCUACGGGAGGCAGCAGUAGGGAAUUUUCCACAAUGGGCGAAAGCCUGAUGGAGCAACGCCGCGUGCAGGAUGAAUGCCUUCGGGUUGUAAACUGCUUUUAUCUGUGACGAAUAUGACGGUAGCAGAUGAAUAAGGAUCGGCUAACUCCGUGCCAGCAGCCGC